This 75-nucleotide transfer RNA is filed under the name Alphaproteobacteria bacterium. RNAcentral's name for it is "tRNA-Val". It matches the Rfam family "tRNA". From Rfam's summary of the family: Transfer RNA (tRNA) molecules are approximately 80 nucleotides in length. The record is from RNAcentral. Lineage: Bacteria; Pseudomonadati; Pseudomonadota; Alphaproteobacteria. RNAcentral also lists the same sequence under 4 other names.
GGGCGAUUAGCUCAGCGGUAGAGCACCUCGUUUACACCGAGGGGGUCGGAGGUUCGAAACCUUCAUCGCCCACCA